AGCCUCCGUCGCAAUCCAUUGUUGCGAUUUCUGCCGUUCGGGCCAUGGCGAUCACACGGCGACCGGAGAAUAGCAGACGAGCCGCGCUAUACGAAGGCCGCCGCCCUGGCUAGUCCCUAGGAAGGCCGCGCGAUAGGCGCCCACCUCCCAACGCGUCCUUUCCGCCAGCUCCAAUCUGUUCCGCCGCCACCCGAUCGACCCAACUCGGCAGUCCCCAACUAGGCGACGAGGUAAAUACACGAAAUCCCCUCUUGUUGUGGUUGUACAAAUCGAUAUGCAUGCUUGUUUGGGAUUUCUUGCAAACUUGAAUGAUUACUGCUUAGUAGUUUUGACCUCAAGAUCUAGGUAAUUGGCUGAAGAACAUUAUGUUGUCCGUCAGAAUAUAUCACUAAUUCAACUGCCGGUUCCAC
This 410-nucleotide small RNA is filed under the name Oryza sativa Japonica Group (Japanese rice). RNAcentral describes it as "sRNA Os04g0537450". The record is from RNAcentral. Lineage: Eukaryota; Viridiplantae; Streptophyta; Magnoliopsida; Poales; Poaceae.